CUUCUUGACCUAUAAAAGCUUUAUCAGGACAACCAGGGAGCAUAGUUUGAAGACUAUUCGAAACCAAGCUAAAUGUUCAAAUACUUGUUGCUCCUCGUUGCCCUUUUGGUCGCCGUAGCCAUGGCUGUGCCAAGAGCCGAACCGCAAUUUGUUUAUCCCUACUAUGGUGGAUACCCAUAUUAUUCUGGAUUUGCCAGAGGCUAUCCAUUACCCUACGUGGGCUACAAAUGAUUCAUCGAUGUAUCCGCAUACGUUCUGAUUAAAUACAUGUUUUGAAU
Long non-coding RNA from Anoplophora glabripennis (Asian longhorned beetle), 278 nucleotides. RefSeq lists it as uncharacterized. The transcript is spliced from 2 exons. Lineage: Eukaryota; Metazoa; Arthropoda; Insecta; Coleoptera; Cerambycidae. The record is from RefSeq and is a predicted model, not a curated record.